UACUGGCAGGAUCAACCAGGCAACAGUGAAGAACAAGUAUCCUCUUCCUCGGAUCGACGAGCUUUUCGAUCAGCUUCAGGGUGCUCAAUAUUUCUCGAAGGUGGAUUUGAGAUCGGGAUAUCAUCAGCUUCGAGUCAGAGAGCAGGAUGUGCAGAAGACGGCGUUUCGUACUCGUUACGGGCACUAUGAGUUCCUUGUGAUGCCGUUCGGGUUGACGAAUGCGCCAGCAGUGUUCAUGGCCUUGAUGAACAAGAUCUUCACCCCGUACCUAGACAGCUUUACAGUGGUAUUCAUCGAUGAUGUAUUGGUCUAUUCCAAGAUAGACCAGAGAGGAGCACGAGCAGCAUUUGAGGACAUCUCUGCAGUUGUUACGUGACAACCAGCUGUAUACGAAGCUCAGCA
This 402-nucleotide unclassified non-coding RNA is filed under the name Litsea costalis. Its description in RNAcentral is "partial miscellaneous RNA". Lineage: Eukaryota; Viridiplantae; Streptophyta; Magnoliopsida; Laurales; Lauraceae. The record is from RNAcentral.